AGUGGAGCCUGCGGCUUAAUUUGACUCAACACGGGAAACCUCACCAGGUCAGGACAUUGUAAGGAUUGACAGAUUGAUAGCUCUUUCUUGAUUCAGUGGGUAGUGGUGCAUGGCCGUUCUUAGUUGGUGGAUCGAUUUGUCUGGUUAAUUCCGAUAACGAACGAGACUCUAGCCUAUUAACUAGACGAUCCUUAGCCUCCGUCUAAGGCGAAACAAACCUCUUCUUAAGGGGACAGGCGGCUUAUAGCCGCACGAGAUUGAGCAAUAACAGGUCUGUGAUGCCCUUAGAUGUCCUGGGCCGCACGCGCGCUACAAUGAAAGAAUCAGCGUGUGUCUCCCAGCCCGAUAGGGCCGGGUAAUCCGCUGAACCUCUUUCGUGCUUGGGAUUGUGGCUUGCAAUUGUUCUUCAUGAACGAGGAAUUCCCAGUAAGCGCGAGUCAUAAGCUCGCGUUGAUUACGUCCCUGCCCUUUGUACACACCGCCCGUCGCUACUACCGAUUGAAUGAUUUAGUGAGGUCUUCGGACUGGCGGGAAAUCUCUACCGUUU
Molecule: ribosomal RNA, 547 nt
Filed under: Atractotomimus limonii
Lineage: Eukaryota; Metazoa; Arthropoda; Insecta; Hemiptera; Miridae
Description: SSU rRNA
Rfam family: Eukaryotic small subunit ribosomal RNA
Source: RNAcentral